This 1343-nucleotide ribosomal RNA is filed under the name uncultured bacterium. RNAcentral describes it as "16S ribosomal RNA". It matches the Rfam family "Bacterial small subunit ribosomal RNA", at positions 28 to 1378 of the family's 1533-position model. The record is from RNAcentral.
GACGAACGCUGGCGGCGUGCUUAACACAUGCAAGUCGAACGGAAAGGCCCUGCUUUUGUGGGGUGCUCGAGUGGCGAACGGGUGAUUAACACGUGAGUAACCUGCCCUUGACUUUGGGAUAACUUCAGGAAACUGGGGCUAAUACCGGAUAGGAGCUCCUGCUGCAUGGUGGGGGUUGGAAAGUUUCGGCGGUUGGGGAUGGACUCGCGGCUUAUCAGCUUGUUGGUGGGGUAGUGGCUUACCAAGGCUUUGACGGGUAGCCGGCCUGAGAGGGUGACCGGCCACAUUGGGACUGAGAUACGGCCCAGACUCCUACGGGAGGCAGCANUGGGGAAUAUUGCACAAUGGGCGGAAGCCUGAUGCAGCAACGCCGCGUGCGGGAUGACGGCCUUCGGGUUGUAAACCGCUUUCNCCUGUNACNAAGCGUGAGUGACGGUAAUGGGUAAAGAAGCACCGGCUAACUACGUGCCAGCAGCCGCGGUGAUACGUAAGGUGCGAGCGUUGUCCGGAUUUAUUGGGCGUAAGGGGCUCGUAGGUGGUUGAUCGCGUCGGAAGUGUACUCUUGGGGCUUAACCCUGAGCGUGCUUUCGAUACGGGUUGACUUGAGGAAGGUAGGGGAGAAUGGAAUUCCUGGUGGAGCGGUGGAAUGCGCAGAUAUCAGGAGGAACACCAGUGGCGAAGGCGGUUCUCUGGGCCUUUCCUGACGCUGAGGAGCGAAAGCGUGGGGAGCGAACAGGCUUAGAUACCCUGGUAGUCCACGCUGUAAACGGUGGGUACUAGGUGUGGGGUCCAUUCCACGGGUUCCGUGCCGUAGCUAACGCUUUAAGUACCCCGCCUGGGGAGUACGGCCGCAAGGCUAAAACUCAAAGGAAUUGACGGGGCCCCGCACAAGCGGCGGAGCAUGCGGAUUAAUUCGAUGCAACGCGUAGAACCUUACCUGGGUUUGACAUGGAUCGGGAGCGCUCAGAGAUGGGUGUGCCUCUUUUGGGGUCGGUUCACAGGUGGUGCAUGGCUGUCGUCAGCUCGUGUCGUGAGAUGUUGGGUUAAGUCCCGCAACGAGCGCAACCCUUGUUCACUGUUGCCAGCACGUUAUGGUGGGGACUCAGUGGAGACCGCCGGGGUCAACUCGGAGGAAGGUGGGGAUGACGUCAAGUCAUCAUGCCCCUUAUGUCCAGGGCUUCACGCAUGCUACAAUGGCUGGUACAGAGAGUGGCGAGCCUGUGAGGGUGAGCGAAUCUCGGAAAGCCGGUCUCAGUUCGGAUUGGGGUCUGCAACUCGACCUCAUGAAGUCGGAGUCGCUAGUAAUCGCAGAUCAGCAACGCUGCGGUGAAUACGUUCCCGGG